AACGCACAUUGCGCCCCUUGGUAUUCCGGGGGGCAUGCCCGUUCGAGCGUCAUUACACCCCUCAAGCCUCGCUUGGUGUUGGGCCCCGGGGCGACCCGGGCCUUGAAGUCGUCGGCCGGACCGUCCGGAUCGCAGCGUCGUGAAUCAACUCGCUGGCGGGAAGGGCGAUGCGCGCCGGAAUCGUUAUUCAUUCAGGUUGACCUCGGAUCGGGUAGGGAUACCCGCUGAACUUAA
RNAcentral lists this unclassified non-coding RNA (234 nucleotides) under uncultured fungus. Its description in RNAcentral is "partial contains 5.8S ribosomal RNA, internal transcribed spacer 2, and large subunit ribosomal RNA". Lineage: Eukaryota; Fungi. The record is from RNAcentral.